Molecule: ribosomal RNA, 462 nt
Filed under: Hypseloecus neoamyemi
Lineage: Eukaryota; Metazoa; Arthropoda; Insecta; Hemiptera; Miridae
Description: partial 16S ribosomal RNA
Rfam family: Bacterial large subunit ribosomal RNA (bases 313-462)
Source: RNAcentral
UGUACAAAGGUAGCAUAAUCAUUUGUCUUUUAAUUGAAGUCUGGAAUGAAUGGUUGGAUGAAAAAUUAACUUUCUUUUUUUUAAAAAAAAAAAUUAAUUUCUUAAUUAAAAAGUUUAGAUGUUAAUAUAGGACGAGAAGACCCUAUAGAACUUUAUUUUUACUAUAAAAGUAUAUAUUUGAUUAUAAACAUUUAUUUUUGUAUAUAAAUUUUGUUGGGGUGAUAAAAAAAAUUUUAUAACUUUUUUUAGUUUUUUCAUUUAUAUAUGAUUUAUUGAUCCUUUAUUAAGGAAAAAAGACUAAGUUACCUUAGGGAUAACAGCGUUAUUAUUUUAGAGAGUUCAUAUUGAUAAAAUAGUUUGCGACCUCGAUGUUGGAUUAAAAUAAGUCUCAGGAGUAGAAAAUUGAGUAUCUAGGUCUGUUCGACCUUUAAAUUUUUACAUGAUCUGAUUUCAAACCGGAGA